This 73-nucleotide transfer RNA is filed under the name Morone saxatilis (striped sea-bass). RNAcentral describes it as "tRNA-Asn". It matches the Rfam family "tRNA". Rfam says of the family: Transfer RNA (tRNA) molecules are approximately 80 nucleotides in length. Their secondary structure includes four short double-helical elements and three loops (D, anti-codon, and T loops). Further hydrogen bonds mediate the characteristic L-shaped molecular structure. tRNAs have two regions of fundamental functional importance: the anti-codon, which is responsible for specific mRNA codon recognition, and the 3' end, to which the tRNAs corresponding amino acid is attached (by aminoacyl-tRNA synthetases). tRNAs cope with the degeneracy of the genetic code in two manners: having more than one tRNA (with a specific anti-codon) for a particular amino acid; and 'wobble' base-pairing, i.e. permitting non-standard base-pairing at the 3rd anti-codon position. Lineage: Eukaryota; Metazoa; Chordata; Actinopteri; Moronidae. The record is from RNAcentral.
UAGAUAGAGGCCUGCUGGUUUGGGCGCUUAGCUGUUAACUAAGAGAUUGUAGGGUCAAGGCCUGCCUAUCUAG